RNAcentral lists this ribosomal RNA (986 nucleotides) under metagenome. RNAcentral describes it as "bacterial LSU rRNA". It matches the Rfam family "Bacterial large subunit ribosomal RNA", at positions 1945 to 2925 of the family's 2925-position model. RNAcentral also lists the same sequence under 1 other name. The record is from RNAcentral.
ACGGUCCUAAGGUAGCGAAAUUCCUUGUCGGGUAAGUUCCGACCUGCACGAAUGGCGUAAUGAUGGCCAGGCUGUCUCCACCCGAGACUCAGUGAAAUUGAACUCGCUGUGAAGAUGCAGUGUACCCGCGGCAAGACGGAAAGACCCCGUGAACCUUUACUAUAGCUUGACACUGAACAUUGAGCCUUGAUGUGUAGGAUAGGUGGGAGGCUUUGAAGUGUGGACGCCAGUCUGCAUGGAGCCGGCCUUGAAAUACCACCCUUUAAUGUUUGAUGUUCUAACGUUGGCCCCUGAUCGGGGUUGCGGACAGUGUCUGGUGGGUAGUUUGACUGGGGCGGUCUCCUCCUAAAGAGUAACGGAGGAGCACGAAGGUUGGCUAAUCCUGGUCGGACAUCAGGAGGUUAGUGCAAUGGCAUAAGCCAGCUUGACUGCGAGCGUGACGGCGCGAGCAGGUGCGAAAGCAGGUCAUAGUGAUCCGGUGGUUCUGAAUGGAAGGGCCAUCGCUCAACGGAUAAAAGGUACUCCGGGGAUAACAGGCUGAUACCGCCCAAGAGUUCAUAUCGACGGCGGUGUUUGGCACCUCGAUGUCGGCUCAUCACAUCCUGGGGCUGAAGUAGGUCCCAAGGGUAUGGCUGUUCGCCAUUUAAAGUGGUACGCGAGCUGGGUUUAGAACGUCGUGAGACAGUUCGGUCCCUAUCUGCCGUGGGCGCUGGAGAACUGAGGGGGGCUGCUCCUAGUACGAGAGGACCGGAGUGGACGCAUCACUGGUGUUCGGGUUGUCAUGCCAAUGGCACUGCCCGGUAGCUAAAUGCGGAAGAGAUAAGUGCUGAAAGCAUCUAAGCACGAAACUUGCCCCGAGAUGAGUUCUCCCUGACUCCUUGAGAGUCCUGAAGGAACGUUGAAGACGACGACGUUGAUAGGCCGGGUGUGUAAGCGCAGCGAUGCGUUGAGCUAACCGGUACUAAUGAACCGUGAGGCUUAACCUU